AGUGAACGCUGGCGGCGUGCUUAACACAUGCAAGUCGAACGAGAACGGGCUAUAGCUUGCUAUAGUUGUCAGCUAGUGGCGCACGGGUGAGUAAUGUAUAGGUAAUAUGCCUCUUACUAAGGGAUAACAAAUGGAAACGUUUGCUAAUACCUUAUACUCCUUAUUAACAGAAGUUAAUAAGGGAAAGAUUUAUUGGUAAGAGAUUGGCCUGUAUUGUAUCAGUUAGUUGAUGGGGUAAUGGCUUACCAAGACUAUGACACAUAACUGGUUUGAGAGGAUGAUCAGUCACACUGGAACUGAGACACGGUCCAGACUCCUACGGGAGGCAGCAGUGGGGAAUAUUGCACAAUGGACGAAAGUCUGAUGCAGCAACGCCGCGUGGAGGAUGACACAUUUCGGUGCGUAAACUCCUUUUAUAUGAGAAGAUAAUGAUGGUAUUAUAUGAAUAAGCACCGGCUAACUCCGUGCCAGCCGCCGCGGUAA
This 483-nucleotide ribosomal RNA is filed under the name uncultured bacterium. Its description in RNAcentral is "partial 16S ribosomal RNA". It matches the Rfam family "Bacterial small subunit ribosomal RNA", at positions 29 to 523 of the family's 1533-position model. The record is from RNAcentral.